UAAUUUUACAAAUUAAAUUAAUGCUUUUGUCCAGAUUACAAAAUGAAAAUAUGAAAUUAUGUUUGAUGCCUUGUAUAAUACAUGAAAAAAAUUGUGUUAACAUUUAUAACAAAUUAUUAAAAUGAUGUAUUUUUUCCUUUUUAUUUCAGACAAACUUCCCCCAUCUCCUGCAGAGAACCGUGAAGUCCAGGAGCAAAUGCUUCCUCAAGCCUAAACCACAAACAGCUCUGCACACAACAACCUGAGAGAAGACGUGUCAGCUCGUUCUUCUCCAUAAACUGGAAUUCAUUGAAUUUGUUGAUUGUUCACAUCAUAAAAUCUGUUAAAAAGAUCUAAAAUCUAAAAUAUAGUUGCAGAUGCUUAUUAGUCAAGAUUUAAUGGAAAGGAGUUUGAAAAUGAGUUGGCAAACAUUACAUCAUUAACUUGUUAAAUUAUUCUGAAUAUGUUGUUUUCAGUUAAAAAAAA
Oreochromis niloticus (Nile tilapia) is the source of this 465-nucleotide long non-coding RNA. RefSeq lists it as uncharacterized. Lineage: Eukaryota; Metazoa; Chordata; Actinopteri; Cichliformes; Cichlidae. The record is from RefSeq and is a predicted model, not a curated record. The transcript has 3 exons.